Molecule: ribosomal RNA, 406 nt
Filed under: uncultured bacterium
Lineage: Bacteria
Description: partial 16S ribosomal RNA
Rfam family: Bacterial small subunit ribosomal RNA
Source: RNAcentral
AUCGAACGCUGGCGGCAGGCCUAACACAUGCAAGUCGAACGAGUGGCGGACGGGUGAGUAAUGUCUGGGAAACUGCCUGCUGGAGGGGGAUAACUACUGGAAACGGUCGCUAAUACCGCAUACCAUCAGAUGUGCCCAGAUGGGAUUAGCUUGUUGGGGGGGUAACGGCUCACCAAGGCGACGAUCCAUAGCUGGUCUGAGAGGAGGACCAGCCACACGGGAACAGAGAAACGGCCGCGACUCCUACGGGAGGCAACAGUGGGGAAUAUUGCACAAGGGGGGCAUGCCGAAUGCAGCCAUGCCGCGUGUAUGAAGAAGGCCUUCGGGUUGUAAAGUACUUUCAGCGGGGAGGCGUUACCCGCAGAGGAAGCACCGGCUAACUCCGUGCCAGCAGCCGCGGUAAUAC